CCUGGCUCAGGAUGAACGCUAGCGGCAGGCUUAACACAUGCAAGUCGAGGGGCAACGCGAGUAGCAAUACUUGGCGGCGACCGGCGCAAGGGUGCGUAACGCGUGAGCAACAUGCCCGUAUCAGGGGGAUAAUCCAGGGAAACUUGGUCUAAUACCCCAUAGUAAUUUUGUAAGGCAUCUUAUAAGAUUUAAAGCUUUGGUGGAUACGGAUUGGCUCGCGUGACAUUAGCUGGAUGGUAAGGUAACGGCUUACCAUGGCUAUGAUGUCUAGGGGUUCUGAGAGGAAGGUCCCCCACACUGGAACUGAGACACGGUCCAGACUCCUACGGGAGGCAGCAGUGAGGAAUAUUGGACAAUGGAUGGAAAUCUGAUCCAGCCAUGCCGCGUGAAGGAAAGAAGGUCCUAUGGAUUGUAAACUUCUUUUGUAUGGGAGCAAUAAGGCCUACGUGUAGGUUGAUGAGAGUACCAUACGAAUAAGCACCGGCUAACUCCGUGCCAGCAGCAGC
This 506-nucleotide ribosomal RNA is filed under the name uncultured bacterium. RNAcentral's name for it is "bacterial SSU rRNA". It matches the Rfam family "Bacterial small subunit ribosomal RNA", at positions 18 to 518 of the family's 1533-position model. The record is from RNAcentral.